GACACGCUGGCGGCGUGCUUAACACAUGCAAGUCGAACGGAGUUACGUAUGAAGUAUUUCGGUACGGACUAUGUAACUUAGUGGCGAACGGGUGAGUAACACGUGGGCAACCUGCCCUUAACCGGGGGAUAACAUUGUGAAAACAGUGCUAAUACCGCAUAACAGAGUAUCGGGCAUCCGAUAUUUUUAAAAGGAGCAAUCCGGUUUAGGAUGGGCCCGCGUCCAAUUAGCUAGUUGGUGAGGUAACGGCUCACCAAGGCUACGAUUGGUAGCCGAACUGAGAGGUUGAUCGGCCACAUUGGGACUGAGACACGGCCCAGACUCCUACGGGAGGCAGCAGUGGGGAAUAUUGGGCAAUGGGCGAAAGCCUGACCCAGCGACGCCGCGUGAAGGAUGAAGGUCUUCGGAUUGUAAAGCUCUGUCAACAGGGACGAAACAAGACGGUACCUGAGAAGGAAGCCACGGCAAACUACGUG
RNAcentral lists this ribosomal RNA (476 nucleotides) under uncultured bacterium. RNAcentral describes it as "bacterial SSU rRNA". It matches the Rfam family "Bacterial small subunit ribosomal RNA", at positions 33 to 507 of the family's 1533-position model. The record is from RNAcentral.